UACAGAGGGGGCAAGCGUUAUUCGGAAUUACUGGGCGUAAAGCGCACGUAGGCGGACUAUUAAGUCAGGGGUGAAAUCCCGGGGCUCAACCCCGGAACUGCCUUUGAUACUGGUAGUCUUGAGUUCGAGAGAGGUGAGUGGAAUUCCGAGUGUAGAGGUGAAAUUCGUAGAUAUUCGGAGGAACACCAGUGGCGAAGGCGGCUCACUGGCUCGAUACUGACGCUGAGGUGCGAAAGCGUGGGGAGCAAACGGG
RNAcentral lists this ribosomal RNA (253 nucleotides) under uncultured bacterium. RNAcentral describes it as "partial 16S ribosomal RNA". It matches the Rfam family "Bacterial small subunit ribosomal RNA", at positions 524 to 776 of the family's 1533-position model. The record is from RNAcentral.